Molecule: ribosomal RNA, 254 nt
Filed under: uncultured bacterium
Lineage: Bacteria
Description: partial 16S ribosomal RNA
Rfam family: Bacterial small subunit ribosomal RNA
Source: RNAcentral
CACGUAGGGGGCAAGCGUUGUCCGGAUUUAUUGGGCGUAAAGAGCUCGUAGGCGGCUCAGUAAGUCGGGUGUGAAACCUCCAGGCUCAACCUGGAGACGCCACCCGAUACUGCUGUGGCUUGAGUCCGGUAGGGGAGCGUGGAAUUCCUGGUGUAGCGGUGAAAUGCGUAGAGAUGCGGAGGAACACCAGUGGCGAAAGCGGCUUUCUGGUCCUUAACUGACGCUGAGGCGCGAAAGCAUGGGGAGCGAACGGG